Molecule: ribosomal RNA, 541 nt
Filed under: uncultured bacterium
Lineage: Bacteria
Description: bacterial SSU rRNA
Rfam family: Bacterial small subunit ribosomal RNA
Source: RNAcentral
AAUAGAUACCCAGGUAGUCCACCCGUAAACGUUGGGACUAGUUGUGGGUCCAUUCCACGGAUUCCGUGACGCAGCUAACGCAUUAAGUUCCCCGCCUGGGGAGUACGGCCGCAAGGCUAAAACUCAAAGGAAUCGACGGGGACCCGCACAAGCGGCGGAGCAUGCGGAUUAAUUCGAUGCAACGCGAAGAACCUUACCAAGGCUUGACAUAUACGAGAACGGGCCAGAAAUGGUCAACUCUUUGGACACUCGUAAACAGGUGGUGCAUGGUUGUCGUCAGCUCGUGUCGUGAGAUGUUGGGUUAAGUCCCGCAACGAGCGCAACCCUCGUUCUAUGUUGCCAGCACGUAAUGGUGGGAACUCAUGGGAUACUGCCGGGGUCAACUCGGAGGAAGGUGGGGAUGACGUCAAAUCAUCAUGCCCCUUAUGUCUUGGGCUUCACGCAUGCUACAAUGGCCGGUACAAAGGGCUGCAAUACCGCGAGGUGGAGCGAAUCCCAAAAAGCCGGUCCCAGUUCGGAUUGAGGUCUGCAACUCGACCUC